Non-coding RNA from Catenaria anguillulae PL171, 46 nucleotides. Lineage: Eukaryota; Fungi; Blastocladiomycota; Blastocladiomycetes; Blastocladiales; Catenariaceae. The record is from Rfam.
CCAUCGGCUUUUUUCAAAGCCACAAAUCUUCGCCUUUCUCGGCAAC